CAGUGUGUUUCCAAGGGCCAUGGCUGGUUGUGGCCUUGGGCUUUCCAACUGUAGACAGAGAAACUGGAGAAACUUGGACAGCUCAGGUAAGCACAGUGCCUGCAGCUGCCACGCAGCUUUCCUGUACAC
Small nucleolar RNA from Grammomys surdaster, 129 nucleotides. RefSeq annotates it as small nucleolar RNA SNORA44. NCBI's taxonomy places the organism in Eukaryota, Metazoa, Chordata, Mammalia, Rodentia, Muridae. The transcript has a single exon. The record is from RefSeq and is a predicted model, not a curated record.